This 332-nucleotide ribosomal RNA is filed under the name uncultured Pseudomonadota bacterium. RNAcentral describes it as "bacterial SSU rRNA". It matches the Rfam family "Bacterial small subunit ribosomal RNA", at positions 568 to 898 of the family's 1533-position model. The record is from RNAcentral. Lineage: Bacteria; Pseudomonadati; Pseudomonadota.
CGUGUAGGCGGCUAUCUAAGUCUGAUGUGAAAGCCCUGGGCUCAACCCAGGAAGUGCACUGGAUACUGGAUAGCUGGAGUACCGGAGAGGAGGGUGGAAUUCCUGGUGUAGCGGUGAAAUGCGUAGAUAUCAGGAGGAACACCGGUGGCGAAGGCGUCCCUCUGGCCGGAUACUGACGCUGAGACGCGAAAGCGUGGGGAGCAAACAGGAUUAGAUACCCUGGUAGUCCACGCCAUAAACGAUGGGUACUAGGUGUUCGGGGUAUUGACCCCCUGAGUGCCGCAGCUAACGCAUUAAGUACCCCGCCUGGGGAAUACGGCCGCAAGGUUAAA